AUGCUGGCUACAGUCUACAGGUGUAGAGGAUACAGGAAGCAUCUCACUCCUGAAGAGCCCAGGAAAGCAUUUAUAGGCAUCCUGGGUAUCUGCUAUUACGGCUCCUUGGAUUCUGUUAGCUCGAUGUCCUGGGAGAUGACUGAGGUUCCCACAGACCAAACUGUGGCACAGCACCAGACAGGUAACAAUACUGAGGUAAGACAAUAAAGGCAUACUAUUGUCCUUGCCAAGUAAAACAAACAAACAGAUAAACAAACAAACACUUGCUUUUGGUGUUUUCGUGUGGCGACAGAAAGAACAUGCCUUUGGCAAAUCCAUGGAUGCAUACCAAGCGCCAGGGUCUUUGGAUAUUUGCGUUUGUGCCGUGAAGCCAGCUAGAACAGCAGAUGUAACUGACUCAGUUUAUGAUAAUCCAUUGUCAUUCUCCAAGGCUGAUCUGGUUUUCCUCACUGGCUAAACUGGAGAGUUAAGUGGGAAUGUGACAGCAGUCAUCACCUCCGGAUCGUUCAGGUCUUUUAACGCUUGGAAUUCUACUAGGGAUGUGAUAUCAGCGUGAUAUGCUGUUUUACAUGAAGAGAGCUCCAUGCGUUUACUUCGGGCCAUUCCUAUUAUAAUGACCCGUAUUCCAUGGGGUAGAGAGCCAACGUGGGGAUUUGCUGUUGGUUCUGUGUAUCGCUUCUACUUACACUUUCACGAACUGGGGAAAUAAACACAGAUUUGGGGGCUCUUUAAGCCCA
Molecule: long non-coding RNA, 737 nt
Filed under: Felis catus (domestic cat)
Lineage: Eukaryota; Metazoa; Chordata; Mammalia; Carnivora; Felidae
Description: lncRNA (ENSFCAG00000046250.2)
Source: RNAcentral